Molecule: ribosomal RNA, 484 nt
Filed under: uncultured bacterium
Lineage: Bacteria
Description: partial 16S ribosomal RNA
Rfam family: Bacterial small subunit ribosomal RNA
Source: RNAcentral
AUUGAACGCUGGCGGCAGGCCUAACACAUGCAAGUCGAGCGGAUGAAGGGAGCUUGCUCCUGGAUUCAGCGGCGGACGGGUGAGUAAUGCCUAGGAAUCUGCCUGGUAGUGGGGGAUAACGUCCGGAAACGGGCGCUAAUACCGCAUACGUCCUGAGGGAGAAAGUGGGGGAUCUUCGGACCUCACGCUAUCAGAUGAGCCUAGGUCGGAUUAGCUAGUUGGUGGGGUAAAGGCCUACCAAGGCGACGAUCCGUAACUGGUCUGAGAGGAUGAUCAGUCACACUGGAACUGAGACACGGUCCAGACUCCUACGGGAGGCAGCAGUGGGGAAUAUUGGACAAUGGGCGAAAGCCUGAUCCAGCCAUGCCGCGUGUGUGAAGAAGGUCUUCGGAUUGUAAAGCACUUUAAGUUGGGAGGAAGGGCGGUAAGUUAAUACCCUGCUGCUUUGACGUUACCAACAGAAUAAGCACCGGCUAACUUCGUG